CCUACGGGGGCUGCAGUGGGGAAUAUUGGACAAUGGGCGAAAGCCUGAUCCAGCCAUGCCGCGUGUGUGAAGAAGGCCUUCGGGUUGUAAAGCACUUUCAGUGGGGAAGAAAGCCUUGGGGCUAAUACCCUCGAGGAAGGACAUCACCCACAGAAGAAGCACCGGCUAACUCCGUGCCAGCAGCCGCGGUAAUACGGAGGGUGCGAGCGUUAAUCGGAAUUACUGGGCGUAAAGCGCGCGUAGGCGGUCUGAUAAGCCGGUUGUGAAAGCCCCGGGCUCAACCUGGGAACGGCAUCCGGAACUGUCAGGCUAGAGUGCAGGAGAGGAAGGUAGAAUUCCCGGUGUAGCGGUGAAAUGCGUAGAGAUCGGGAGGAAUACCAGUGGCGAAGGCGGCCUUCUGGACUGACACUGACGAUGAGGUGCGAAAGCGUGGGUAGCAAACAGGAUUAGAUACCCGAGUAGUC
RNAcentral lists this ribosomal RNA (464 nucleotides) under Vreelandella stevensii. Its description in RNAcentral is "partial 16S ribosomal RNA". It matches the Rfam family "Bacterial small subunit ribosomal RNA", at positions 338 to 795 of the family's 1533-position model. Lineage: Bacteria; Pseudomonadati; Pseudomonadota; Gammaproteobacteria; Oceanospirillales; Halomonadaceae. The record is from RNAcentral.